CUCGCAGGAGAGGGCUGGGCAGAGGAACCACGACGGCCAUGCGGAAGCCACACAAGAGCGAUCCAAUGUCUCAUCUCCACCCUCAAUCAUGGCCUCCACUGAUGCCAAAGUAAACCCAUUCAGCUUCAGGAGGCUUUCCAGCAAACAAAGCAUAGUUUGUAUGACAGAUCUUUGUGUGACAGAGAAUCACGGGCAUUUGAAAUGACACAACUGGAAGCUAAAUCCAACAGCAGGGAGACGCUUACCAAGGCAAGGUAUGACACCCCUGCUUGGUCUCACUGCCUCCCAUCUCUGCUCCAUCCAAUCUAUCUUCCAGCCCAGAAGUGAAGGUUUUGUGCCAAAAUGCAUUCACCCAUCCAAACAUUCAAUAAAUAUCUACUAAGCACCCACUAAAGAUUAGGUGUGCGUGAAGCCCUGGUGACAAAGAAAUAAAGAGACCCAGCCUCUUCCCUUAAAUAGCCAGUGAACGGUGCAAAGGCAGGGCAAUAAACCAUGGCAUGGUUUGAAAAACGAGCAUGAGGACUGCCAAGGGUCCCUUUGGGAAAUGCUGAACAGAG
Long non-coding RNA from Mandrillus leucophaeus (drill), 557 nucleotides. RefSeq lists it as uncharacterized. Lineage: Eukaryota; Metazoa; Chordata; Mammalia; Primates; Cercopithecidae. The record is from RefSeq and is a predicted model, not a curated record. The transcript has 3 exons.